This is a long non-coding RNA of Varroa destructor (honeybee mite), 930 nucleotides long. RefSeq lists it as uncharacterized. The record is from RefSeq and is a predicted model, not a curated record. Lineage: Eukaryota; Metazoa; Arthropoda; Arachnida; Mesostigmata; Varroidae.
UUUGCACGAGCUAAAUGUUAAAUUAAUUGGAAUGGUUAUACGCCCAAAAAACGCAGUUUGUACAUCCGCUAGAGCGAUACUAUAGGCAGGGUGCGCACUCUAGAGAGGGGUUUCAGAUCCACAGCAUUUCAGCUGAUGAACGAAGUUUCGAUCAGAUGGUAAUCUACUGGAGCAAGCUCGUAGAAUGGAAAGUUCCUUAUCUAAAAAUUUAGCUAACUAUGGCACGUCCGUGGGGCGCUUCACCUUAUUUCGAAAGAACAAGCCCUAGUAGCGAAACGACAUCAUGCCGGUCUACCGUCUUCAUCAUAAAUCGCCUGCAGUACACGUUGUCGCCGGCAGGCGUUCGUAGCUUGUCCGUCCGGUCUCGUCAGCGGAUCAACACCCAGCAAACUAUAACGUCUGCUAUUUAGCCCGCAAAUGAAAAAAAGUCACCUGCCAUCGUCGCCCUUCAAGCCGAAUCAACGACCUAUAACUUCGCCAAUUAUUCGUUCAGCAAAACCGAGUGCCAACGGACAAGGACGCUUAUCUGUUUUCCAAACAUCACAGGCCAUCACUCAAGGUCAGCUCGUUUCUAGGGUGCCACUCUCUGCUAGCGCAAGACACUCCGAUAGCGUCAGCUUUCAGGUUUCACCCCAGAACAGUGGCUAUAUAAAUUCGUCAGCGAUGGAUAAUUUUGGCCCGGCCCCGGACAUCUGUUAUGAACGAAGUAGUCAUAGCUACUAUACUUUGGAGCCGAUUGUGUUAUUCCUAGUAAUUUUCGACUUCAGUGAACGAUGGAAUCCUCAGUGGUAGGCUCUGAGCUGACAACGAUUCCCUGCGAUACUGACGGGUACAGAUAUGCGCUAGUUAGCUCGUGGGUACCGCUAUAUCAUUGGUCGAGCUCAAUUCCAACAGAAGCUGUCUACUCAUUAAAAUUCAUAUAGAUUUGAA